RNAcentral lists this ribosomal RNA (496 nucleotides) under uncultured bacterium. RNAcentral describes it as "partial 16S ribosomal RNA". It matches the Rfam family "Bacterial small subunit ribosomal RNA", at positions 28 to 507 of the family's 1533-position model. The record is from RNAcentral.
GAUGAACGCUGGCGGCGUGCCUAUGCAUGCAAGUCGAGCGAACGGACGAGAAGCUUGCUUCUCUGAUGUUAGCGGCGGACGGGUGAGUAACACGUGGAUAACCUACCUAUAAGACUGGGAUAACUUCGGGAAACCGGAGCUAAUACCGGAUAAUAUUUUGAACCGCAUGGUUCAAAAGUGAAAGACGGUCUUGCUGUCACUUAUAGAUGGAUCCGCGCUGCAUUAGCUAGUUGGUAAGGUAACGGCUUACCAAGGCAACGAUGCAUAGCCGACCUGAGAGGGUGAUCGGCCACACUGGAACUGAGACACGGUCCAGACUCCUACGGGAGGCAGCAGUAGGGAAUCUUCCGCAAUGGGCGAAAGCCUGACGGAGCAACGCCGCGUGAGUGAUGAAGGUCUUCGGAUCGUAAAACUCUGUUAUUAGGGAAGAACAUAUGUGUAAGUAACUGUGCACAUCUUGACGGUACCUAAUCAGAAAGCCACGGCUAACUACGUG